AACGAACGCUGGCGGCGUGCUUAACACAUGCAAGUCGAACGGAAAGGCCUCAGCUUGCUGGGGUACUCGAGUGGCGAACGGGUGAGUAACACGUGGGUGAUCUGCCCUGCACUUUGGGAUAAGCUUGGGAAACUGGGUCUAAUACCGAAUAUGACCACUUCUUGGAUGUUGUGGUGGAAAGCUUUUGCGGUGUGGGAUGAGCCUGCGGCCUAUCAGCUUGUUGGUGGGGUAAUGGCCUACCAAGGCGGCGACGGGUAUCCGGCCUGAGAGGGUGUACGGACACAUUGGAACUGAGAUACGGCCCAGACUCCUACGGGAGGCAGCAGUGGGGAAUAUUGCACAAUGGGCGCAAGCCUGAUGCAGCGACGCCGCGUGGGGGAUGAAGGCCUUCGGGUUGUAAACUCCUUUCGCUAUCGACGAAGCCACUUGUGGUGACGGUAGGUAGAUAAGAAGCACCGGCUAACUACGUGCCAGCCGCCGCAGUAA
This 486-nucleotide ribosomal RNA is filed under the name uncultured bacterium. Its description in RNAcentral is "partial 16S ribosomal RNA". It matches the Rfam family "Bacterial small subunit ribosomal RNA", at positions 29 to 523 of the family's 1533-position model. The record is from RNAcentral.